ACCUGAGUUUAGGAGAGACAGGGAUGAUACAGUCCAUGCUGCACCCAAGGCCUGAGGUGUCUGCAGGUGUUUCUGCCCCUCACCUGGCCACCCACCUUGGUACCCUGUAAGUCCCUUGUUCAUGACUGCUCAAGACUCAGCUCCAAGACUGCCUCCCCUAAAUGAGGCCCAGUUGGCUCAGGAAGAUCAGAGUGUGAACAGAAAAUAGGUUCAGAGUUCCUAGCCCUAACAGGCCCUCAUUACAUAGCAGACCCUGGAGGUUCAGAAGAGCUCUAGUUCUAAGGUUACCUCAUGUAUGUUAAUUAUCAGUUAAAAUACAUCUGGAGAUGGGCACAUUUCUAAAUAGAACAGAUGUGAACAGCCUCUUAAUGGAAAUAAGAGAGCAGAAGACAAGAGUCCUGCUGAUCUGUCAUACCAGCUCCCUCUCAGCCUGUAUCAUACAAUGAAUCCUAGAUACUGUGCCUGUGGGGACCCCAAGGUAGCUCCAUGUAUGCCCCGCCCAGAGCCCUAAGUGAGCUGGCAAGCAAGAGGUUGUGAUGUAGAGGAAGGCUGUGAGAAUGCCCAGCUGUGGGUAACCAGAUGUCCCAAGGUAACACGUCUACCAUGUCUGUCCACUCAUCUAUGCCACGUAGGCUGGAGCAGGUGGUGCCUCUCAAGACACAGAACUAUGGAGAGGUCCCAGGCAAGUCUAAAGGGUUGCUUUGUCACAACAGAGGUAAACUGAGGAAGCAGCAGGAAACUGAGCCACACAGGCAGGUAGCAGAGGCAAGAAGGUGACUCCAAGAAGAGGAUCCCAGCAGAGGCCUCCCGCCCAACCCCUCCAUUAAGCCAGGCAGCAUGCACGAAGUUAAAGGUUCCACUGAGCUCAGUCAGCGCUCUCACCUGUCAAUCCAAGGUCCUGCUCUUCCAAGUCUUUAUCUAAGGACGCGAUAUUUAUGUCACUAAGAUGGAGAUCUAAUGCAGAACCUGUAAGAUAAACCUGGUGUUACCCACUCACCUCUCACCCAGCAAUGACACAAAACCUCUUAGGAGGAAUCCCUGACCCCAUAUCCACCAACACCCACCUAGCUAGAGCCAAAGUGCCCCUGGCAACCCACUGCAGCACCUGCCUCUGCCUUCUCCUCCACAGCCAGAGUGCAUCAUCUGAACAGCCCUGGCUGCACUCAGAGACACAGCCCUGGCCCACAAACCUCCUCCUUCCUAGGUGUUGUUUUGUUUCGUUCUGUUGGUUUGCUUUUUGUUUCUUUGAGAUAGGAUCUCAUGUAGCUCAUGACUGUCUUCAACUCACUAUGCGGCCAAGGGCAACCUGAACUUCUGAUCCUCUUGUCCUCCACCUCCCAAGUUCUGGGAUCAUACAGGAAUGUACCCGAUGCCCACCUUUGUCUCCUUUACUUCUAACCACUUGUUAAAAUUUGACCAAGAAAAUACAUUCAACUAUUAAAAAUUU
This is a non-coding RNA of Peromyscus maniculatus bairdii (prairie deer mouse), 1447 nucleotides long. Lineage: Eukaryota; Metazoa; Chordata; Mammalia; Rodentia; Cricetidae. The record is from RefSeq and is a predicted model, not a curated record.